UACAGAGGGUGCAAGCGUUGUUCGGAAUUAUUGGGCGUAAAGCGCGUGUAGGCGGGUCUUUAAGUCAGGGGUGAAAUGCCAAGGCUCAACCUUGGAACUGCCUUUGAUACUGGAGAUCUUGAGUCCGGGAGAGGUGAGUGGAAUUGCGAGUGUAGAGGUGAAAUUCGUAGAUAUUCGCAAGAACACCAGUGGCGAAGGCGGCUCACUGGCCCGGAACUGACGCUGAGACGCGAAAGCGUGGGGAGCAAACAGG
Molecule: ribosomal RNA, 253 nt
Filed under: uncultured bacterium
Lineage: Bacteria
Description: partial 16S ribosomal RNA
Rfam family: Bacterial small subunit ribosomal RNA
Source: RNAcentral